CCUACGGGGGGCAGCAGUGGGGAAUAUUGCGCAAUGGGCGAAAGCCUGACGCAGCGACGCCGCGUGAGGGAUGAAGGUCUUCGGAUCGUAAACCUCUGUUAGCAGGGAAGAACGGUCACUGUGCUAACUAGCAGUGAAUUGACGGUACCUGCAAAGGAAGCACCGGCUAACUCCGUGCCAGCAGCCGCGGUAAUACGGAGGGUGCGAGCGUUAAUCGGAUUUAUUGGGCGUAAAGCGCUCGUAGGCGGUAUGUCAAGUCAAGGGUGAAAUCCCCGCGCUCAACGUGGGAGCUGCCUUUGAAACGGGCAAACUGGAGUGUGUAAGAGGAUAGUGGAAUUCCAGGGGUAGGAGUGAAAUCCGUAGAUAUAUGGAGGAACAUCAGUGGCGAAGGCGACUAUCUGGCACAUAACUGACGCUGAGGAGCGAAAGCGUGGGUAGCAAACAGGAUUAGAUACCCGAGUAGUC
RNAcentral lists this ribosomal RNA (465 nucleotides) under uncultured bacterium. RNAcentral's name for it is "partial 16S ribosomal RNA". It matches the Rfam family "Bacterial small subunit ribosomal RNA", at positions 338 to 795 of the family's 1533-position model. The record is from RNAcentral.